GUCCCCCAACUUGCAGGAUGGCUCAAGAGAGUCCUCACAGCUGCAUAUUUACCUGCUGUCACUGAUGCAUUGAGUGUGUCAGUCCCUCUGCCCAAGGUUCCCAACAUCAGCCUCAGGAACACCAAGGUUGACAUCACCGACGCAGACAGCUCUCCCGACCAGACCCGUCUGGAUGAUUCCUGCUCCAUCGGACCCAUGUCCCAGCUCCGCUUCUGAGGCUGACAGCACCCAUGAGCUCCAGCACCCUGCUUGUCUCCAUGUG
Long non-coding RNA from Melopsittacus undulatus (budgerigar), 262 nucleotides. RefSeq lists it as uncharacterized. Lineage: Eukaryota; Metazoa; Chordata; Aves; Psittaciformes; Psittaculidae. The transcript is spliced from 3 exons. The record is from RefSeq and is a predicted model, not a curated record.